This 384-nucleotide ribosomal RNA is filed under the name uncultured eukaryote. RNAcentral describes it as "partial 18S ribosomal RNA". It matches the Rfam family "Eukaryotic small subunit ribosomal RNA", at positions 592 to 973 of the family's 1831-position model. The record is from RNAcentral.
CAAUAGCGUAUAUUAAAGUUGUUGCAGUUAAAAAAGCUCGUAGUUGGAUUUCUGUUCUCGAGGAUCGGUCCGCCUCACGGUGAGCACUGGUUUUUCUUGGGGGACAUCCUCUCGAAGGCGGGUGGUGCACUUAAUUGUGUGCUGCUUUGGAUUCGGGGACCUUUACUUUUGAAAAAAAUUAGAGUGUUCAAAGCAGGCGUCGGCUUGAAUACAUUAGCAUGGAAUAAUGGAAUAGGACUUUGGUUCUAUUUUGUUGGUUUCUAGGACCGAAGUAAUGAUUAAUAGGGGACAGUUGGGGGGCAUAGUAUUUAAUUGUCAGAGGUGAAAUUCUUGGAUUUAUGAAAGACUAACUACUGCGAAAGCAUUUGCCAAGGAUGUUUUUUC